Pocillopora damicornis (cauliflower coral) is the source of this 551-nucleotide long non-coding RNA. Lineage: Eukaryota; Metazoa; Cnidaria; Anthozoa; Scleractinia; Pocilloporidae. The record is from RefSeq and is a predicted model, not a curated record.
CACGAGUUCGGUGGCCAUGUGCGUUGGAGACCCAGUGAAAGCUAUGUUCCGUUAUGAUCCGUCCUUUUCUGGCGUUGUGUGAGUUAAACGUGGACCAUAUUGAGCAGCAUGCAAGGUGCGCUGUGCAUCAAGGAUUUGAGUGGAGGAUAACACUUGAAGCCAAGAAAUAUCUGAGGAGACCUAACAAAUAACUGAUGUAGAGGACAAGUUAUCAAGAGAAAUUAGAAGACCCUGGCUGACAGGGUCAAACAAGCAAAGGUCAAGGCUGCAAGGUUGUAAAGGCAUUUGACAAUGAUUGAACCACAAUUUAAGGUCAUCUGCAGCUUUCUUACCAAGAAGUGAUGAAUAAAGGAAAUCCUUUGUUGAAAGAAUGAGCUUUUCAGGAAAAGAAGAAGUUUUUUCAAACAGAUGCCUAUUAGUUAUUCUAUCAUGUGUAAGAAACUUGUACAGAGAUUGGCUGGCCGUUCAGUUGUUAGUUAUGGAUCCUCGGCAGCAUAAUGAGCAAAAAUCUAUAAUGGCAUAAAUAAAACAAAUGAUAACAUUUUACUCUA